GUACAAAGAGCUCUCACUUCAGCUGCACAUGCAUUAAAAUUGGAAUGACACCGAGAAGAUGAGCAGGGCCCCUGUGCAGGGAUGACACAAAUUUGGGAAGUGUUCCGUAUUUUU
Panthera pardus (leopard) is the source of this 114-nucleotide small nuclear RNA. NCBI's taxonomy places the organism in Eukaryota, Metazoa, Chordata, Mammalia, Carnivora, Felidae. The record is from Ensembl.